This 1812-nucleotide long non-coding RNA is filed under the name Pandoravirus dulcis. Its description in RNAcentral is "putative ncRNA". The record is from RNAcentral.
GGGCGCGAUGCCGGGCGUGAGAGGCGCUCCGGACGCGGCAUAGGCCCUGGCGGCGGCGGCCGCCAAGUUGCGCGGGCGAGCAAAGGCCGACGAGGCAGCCCGCGCCGCCUUUCGGCCGGCGUCGAUGACAAAGAGGCGCAGCGCCGCCACCAACUCACACUCGUCGAGGAAGGCUGCCGACACGGGACGGCCGCCGAACCACCAAUAGUCUGCAUCCGCUAUGUUUUCGUAGAGGUAGGUAUUGAUCUCAGCGGGAAGGUCACGCGUGUUUUUCAGAGGCGCAAGCGCUCUCUUGAUCUCGGCGGCGCCCAUCGGUACCGCGUCCUCUUCGCCCUCAUCCUCGCCGUCCUCUUCGUCCUCAUCUUCGCCCUCAAUGUCCAUGGCCGCGGUGCUUUGCGUGAGUCCCGCACGUUCGGGCCACGGUUCGUCUUCGCGGGCACCGUCUUGGACGACGCUUUCGUAGGUUCUCCCUUGUCCGCCACCGUCAUCUUCUUCCUCGUCCUCAGAAAAGGCGUCUUCCUCGCCGCGCACGUUCCAUGCGGGCUCGUCGAAAGGUCGUUGUUGGUUUUGGUACCUCCACGUGCCCUCUUCCUCGGACUCGGCGAUGGCGGCGUCGAGUAAUGCUGGCAACACCGCCUCAUACGGUUGGAGUGCCUCGGGAAGGGGCCGCCUGCCGACUCGUCCGGGCGCCUGUCCCAUUGGGCUAGCGGCGCCGAUGGCCGGCGGCUCAUCUCCAUAACCCAUGAUGCGGUUUUCAGAGACGUAAUCGAUCGUGCCGCUGCGGUCGAGUCCAAAAAAGAUGGUGUCGGCCUCAGCGUCCCCGUAGCCCACUAUGAUAUAGUAGACUCUCUGUGGGUCGCAUGUGGUGGCGGGCCACUGGUUCCGGCGCAAAAGCGCGCCCCACGCGCCGAGGUGGGGGCCGACAGACCCUUGCGCACCGAUAACCGUCGGAUUCCUGCGCACCUGCCGGCCGAUGGCCUCGACAACCUCCGCCAUGUCGACGCCGGCUCCGGCGCGCCGUGACAUGCCAGGCGGAGCCACGUAGGCGUAGGCGUCGUAGGCGUCGGCAAACGACGGAGGCCAGGGUCCGCCUAUCGCACGGACGGCGGCGUCGGCGUCGGCGUCCUCCAUUAGCGCCGUCCAGUAGCGCUCGUACUGGCGGGCCAGGGUAUCGCACGCCGUGCCAGCGUCGGGUCCGUAGGACCCGCGCCCCGGCUGGCCCAACAGAGACGCGGGCGCAUAGCGCGACAGAUGACUUAUGGCGUCGACGUCGCCGGCUGUCGCGCGCACGCACAUCCUGCGAAAGUCCCUAGCAGUGCUGGCGACGAUACCUUCGUGCCAUGGCGCCAAAGGCGCAAAUUCUGUCCUGCGUCUCGGCGCAUAGAGGACGUCGUCGUCAGGUGCCGAACCGAUGGACCUUGCGCGCUUCAUCGCGAUAAACACCGCAGAUCGGACUUGCAAAGGACAAGGCACGCGACCACUUUCUCUGGGUGCCCUCAACUUUUGAUCUCUGGUGUGAUGUCGUCUCCCCUGCGCCACAGCGCCAGCCCAGGACGAAGGGCAGGGCGGGCGGCUGCUGUCCCUCUGGUGCCUGUCGCCCAACAAAGAAAGAGCGGCGUCACCGACGCUCCCAGAUAUCAACCGGUCAUAUUUGGCCAACGGACUACUUUGUUUUCUGCUUGUGAUCGGUCAACUGCGACUUUACUCGACACCGGCAGGAAUCGACCUGUCUGUCAAUAAACAGAAUAAAACCGACACGAAGGCGGGAGUAGUUGGGCAAAACCAGUUAUGCGGGCACACGCCCAAAUGCGA